AUUGAACGCUGGCGGCAGGCCUAACACAUGCAAGUCGAGCGGUUGAGGUAGCUUGCUACCGAUGCAGCGGCGAACGGGUGAGUAAUACAUGGGAAUCUGCCUGGUAGUGGGGGACAACGUUUCGAAAGGAACGCUAAUACCGCAUACGCCCUACGGGGGAAAGGGGGGGAUCUUCGGACCUCUCGCUAUCAGAUGAGCCCAUGUCAGAUUAGCUUGUUGGUGAGGUAAAGGCUCACCAAGGCGACGAUCUGUAACUGGUCUGAGAGGAUGAUCAGUCACACUGGAACUGAGACACGGUCCAGACUCCUACGGGAGGCAGCAGUGGGGAAUAUUGGACAAUGGGGGCAACCCUGAUCCAGCCAUGCCGCGUGUGUGAAGAAGGCCUUAGGGUUGUAAAGCACUUUCAGUGGGGAGAAAGGUGAUUCACCUAAUACGUGAGUCAAUUGAUGCUACCCACAGAGGAAGCACCGGCUAACUCCGUGCCAGCAGCCGCCGUAA
This 498-nucleotide ribosomal RNA is filed under the name uncultured bacterium. RNAcentral's name for it is "partial 16S ribosomal RNA". It matches the Rfam family "Bacterial small subunit ribosomal RNA", at positions 30 to 523 of the family's 1533-position model. The record is from RNAcentral.